UCAUUUUCUCUAAGAGUGUUCAAUGGGAAAUACUUCAUUUUAUGUUUCACUAGGAAAAAGAUGGAACACUUGUGACAGAAAUACCAAAGUGCUCUCUUUCAAUGCCAAUUUUCAAGAAUUAUUGUGCUCAACCACGUUGCUCUACUGUAAAAUGGCCAGAUACUGCUUUCAUUUCCCAUGCCAGUAUUUCUCUACUAAAACACUCUUAUCUGAAUGGUUGUCGUGAAUUUGAAAAGAUUCUCAUUGUGGCUAGCCAUCCCAGAUGUAAGAAAGGUAUGUUAUGAUUUGCAGUGUCUCUUCCGAAGAUUCUCUCAGAAAAAUAUGCUAAGCAAUCAACUUAUGAAUCAUAUAAG
Long non-coding RNA from Daphnia carinata, 353 nucleotides. RefSeq lists it as uncharacterized. The transcript has 4 exons. Lineage: Eukaryota; Metazoa; Arthropoda; Branchiopoda; Diplostraca; Daphniidae. The record is from RefSeq and is a predicted model, not a curated record.